This 949-nucleotide long non-coding RNA is filed under the name Neogale vison (American mink). Its description in RNAcentral is "Neovison vison (American mink) lncRNA (ENSNVIG00000009333.1)". Lineage: Eukaryota; Metazoa; Chordata; Mammalia; Carnivora; Mustelidae. The record is from RNAcentral.
UUCAGCAACUAAUUGAUCAAAUUAUUUUCUAUUUUUUUUUAAAGGAGGACUAAUUCUGGUUGUCCUAUUUAAAUAACUACAGUGCCAUUAAGAGCAAAAAGAAAAUCAGUAAAAACAUUUGCUCCUGAACUCUGAGUGACUUAAAUAAAGAUGACAUAUGAAUAAAGAAGGGGGAAAAAGGAUUCUUUAAAUAUCUAACAAGGCACAUAGAGCAUAGAGAGUUUUACAUAUGCUUUUACAACUUUGGACAUAGUUUAAAUGAUACAUUGGCCGCGAGGAAGCCAGACCAUCCAAACUUUGCUAAUAUCAGAAACAAAAGCACCAACAGAAAGAAGAAAUGACAAAAGAUCAGUGAAGGUACUGAGUCAGACACAGCAAUCUCCGGCAACAGAAAAAGUGAAAAAGGAAACAUUUAAAGUAAGACAACUGUGUGAUGCUGGGACUCACAGUGCAGUGCCUUCUGUUGUAGCAAGUGUCUAUAUUGCUAUGAACAACCCAGACAAUGCCAGAAUGUUGUAGCAGUAAGGACCACAGACCCACAUUUCAGCUUAAGACCAUCAUUUACUGAAAUCUGCUUAUAGGAAAAUGUGAUUAGCUGGAAGGUGAGUAGUUUGAUUGGUCUUCCCUCUUAGUAGUUCGAAGUUACAAAUAAGUUACAAAUGCUAUUUUAUAGUUACAAGGAAUACUUGUAUUUGAAUAGUGGUAACUCAUUUUUAAUUGAUCUGCCAUCCAUGUUGUCCUUCUAAGAAUUCUCUUUUUAGUCAGUGGUCUCGUCUGAUGGAACAAUAUCAUACCCAGAGAUUUCUUGUAACACAAAAGAACCCUGAGCUUCUUAGGUAGGAGGGGUAAAAGGAAAACAGAUGAAGAGAGCCAAAUAGCCCCAUUUGGUUGAUGUAGAUAUAGAUGGGUCUUUCAAUCCAUUUUUGAAACUGGCUGAUAGGGCUACCAC